CGCCGCGCUGGCCGGGGCGGGGGCGCGGGUCGCCGCGGCCGACCUGGACGCCGCGCCGGCGGAGUCCGCGGGCGUUCCGGACGCCGCCGCCGCGG
Molecule: transfer RNA, 95 nt
Filed under: Planomonospora antibiotica
Lineage: Bacteria; Bacillati; Actinomycetota; Actinomycetes; Streptosporangiales; Streptosporangiaceae
Description: Planomonospora parontospora subsp. antibiotica tRNA-Arg
Source: RNAcentral